RNAcentral lists this small RNA (124 nucleotides) under Marmota monax (woodchuck). Lineage: Eukaryota; Metazoa; Chordata; Mammalia; Rodentia; Sciuridae. The record is from RNAcentral.
GCCGGGCACGGUGGUGCACACCUGUAAUCCCAGCAGUCAGGAGGCUGAGGCGGGAAGAUCGCAAGUUCAAAGCCAACCUCAGCAACAGUGAGGUGCUAAGCAACUCAGUGAUACCCUGUCUCUA